RNAcentral lists this ribosomal RNA (1019 nucleotides) under uncultured bacterium. RNAcentral's name for it is "bacterial SSU rRNA". It matches the Rfam family "Bacterial small subunit ribosomal RNA", at positions 338 to 1376 of the family's 1533-position model. The record is from RNAcentral.
CCUACGGGAGGCAGCAGUGGGGAAUAUUGCGCAAUGGGCGAAAGCCUGACGCAGCGACGCCGCGUGAGGGACGAAGGCCUUCGGGUUGUAAACCUCUUUCAGCAGGGACGAAGCGAAAGUGACGGUACCUGCAGAAGAAGCACCGGCCAACUACGUGCCAGCAGCCGCGGUAAUACGUAGGGUGCAAGCGUUGUCCGGAAUUAUUGGGCGUAAAGAGCUCGUAGGCGGUCUGUUGCGUCGGCUGUGAAAACUCGGGGCUCAACCCCGGGCCUGCAGCCGAUACGGGCAGACUAGAGUUCGGCAGGGGAGACUGGAAUUCCUGGUGUAGUGGUGAAAUGCGCAAAUAUCAGGAGGAACACCGGUGGCGAAGGCGGGUCUCUGGGCCGAUACUGACGCUGAGGAGCGAAAGCGUGGGGAGCGAACAGGAUUAGAUACCCUGGUAGUCCACGCCGUAAACGUUGGGCGCUAGGUGUGGGUUCCCUUCCACGGGAUCCGUGCCGCAGCUAACGCAUUAAGCGCCCCGCCUGGGGAGUACGGCCGCAAGGCUAAAACUCAAAGGAAUUGACGGGGGCCCGCACAAGCGGCGGAGCAUGUGGCUUAAUUCGAGGCAACGCGAAGAACCUUACCUGGGUUUGACAUGCAGGGAAAUCUCCCAGAGAUGGGAGGUCCGCAAGGGCCUUGCACAGGUGGUGCAUGGCUGUCGUCAGCUCGCGUCGUGAGAUGUUGGGUUAAGUCCCGCAACGAGCGCAACCCUCGUCCUAUGUUGCCAGCACAUCAUGGUGGGGACUCAUAGGAGACUGCCGGGGUCAACUCGGAGGAAGGUGGGGAUGACGUCAAGUCAUCAUGCCCCUUAUGUCAGGGCUGCACACAUGCUACAAUGGCCUGUACAAAGGGCUGCUAACCGCGAGGUGGAGCGAUCCCCAAAAGCCCGUCUCAUUCGGAUCGGGUCUUGCACUCGACCCGUGAAGUCGGAUUCCUACUAAUCGCGAUCAUCAACUCGCGGUGAAUACGUUCCAGCG